UGGUGUAUAUUUUAUAGCGCGAAAUUAACGUUCUUUUUUGUCUACCAAACUUUGCAGUGUUUUCACGUGCUGUUGCAACAACUAGUAACAUUAG
Long non-coding RNA from Etheostoma cragini (Arkansas darter), 94 nucleotides. RefSeq lists it as uncharacterized. The record is from RefSeq and is a predicted model, not a curated record. The transcript has 3 exons. NCBI's taxonomy places the organism in Eukaryota, Metazoa, Chordata, Actinopteri, Perciformes, Percidae.